GACGAACGCUGGCGGCGUGCUUAACACAUGCAAGUCGAACGGAAAGGCCUGCAGCUUGCCGCGGGUACUCGAGUGGCGAACGGGUGAGUAACACGUGGGUGAUCUGUCUUGCACUUCGGGAUAAGCUUGGGAAACUGGGUCUAAUACCGGAUAGGACAGCUGUUUAGUGUCAGUUGUGGAAAGUUUUUUCGGUGCAAGAUGAGCUCGCGGCCUAUCAGCUUGUUGGUGGGGUAAUGGCCUACCAAGGCGUCGACGGGUAGCCGGCCUGAGAGGGUGUACGGCCACAUUGGGACUGAGAUACGGCCCAGACUCCUACGGGAGGCAGCAGUGGGGAAUAUUGCACAAUGGGCGGAAGCCUGAUGCAGCGACGCCGCGUGGGGGAUGAAGGCCUUCGGGUUGUAAACUCCUUUCGACAGGGACGAAGCGUAAGUGACGGUACCUGUAUAAGAAGCACCGGCUAACUACGUGCCAGCAGCCGCGGUAAUACGUAGGGUGCGAGCGUUGUCCGGAAUUACUGGGCGUAAAGAGCUCGUAGGUGGUUUGUCGCGUCGUCUGUGAAAUUCCGGGGCUUAACUCCGGGCGUGCAGGCGAUACGGGCUGACUUGAGUGCUGUAGGGGAGACUGGAAUUCCUGGUGUAGCGGUGAAAUGCGCAGAUAUCAGGAGGAACACCGAUGGCGAAGGCAGGUCUCUGGGCAGUAACUGACGCUGAGGAGCGAAAGCAUGGGUAGCGAACAGG
RNAcentral lists this ribosomal RNA (737 nucleotides) under uncultured Corynebacterium sp. RNAcentral's name for it is "bacterial SSU rRNA". It matches the Rfam family "Bacterial small subunit ribosomal RNA", at positions 28 to 776 of the family's 1533-position model. The record is from RNAcentral. Lineage: Bacteria; Bacillati; Actinomycetota; Actinomycetes; Mycobacteriales; Corynebacteriaceae.